UAGGGAAUCUUCGGCAAUGGACGAAAGUCUGACCGAGCAACGCCGCGUGAGUGAAGAAGGUUUUCGGAUCGUAAAACUCUGUUGUUAGAGAAGAACAAGGACGUUAGUAACUGAACGUCCCCUGACGGUAUCUAACCAGAAAGCCACGGCUAACUACGUGCCAGCAGCCGCGGUAAUACGUAGGUGGCAAGCGCUGUCCGGAUGUAUUGGGCGUAAAGCGAGCGCAGGCGGUUUCUUAAGUCUGAUGUGAAAGCCCCCGGCUCAACCAGGAAGAGUGAUUGGAAACUGGGGUACUUGAGUGCAGAAGAGGAGAGUGGAAUUCCGUGUGUAGCGGUGAAAUGCGUAGAUAUAAGGAGGAACACCAGUGGCGAAGGCGGCUCUCUGGUCUGUAACUGACGCUGAGGCUAGAAAGCGUGGGGAGCAAACAGG
RNAcentral lists this ribosomal RNA (429 nucleotides) under Gemmatimonadota bacterium. RNAcentral's name for it is "Gemmatimonadetes bacterium partial 16S ribosomal RNA". It matches the Rfam family "Bacterial small subunit ribosomal RNA", at positions 355 to 776 of the family's 1533-position model. The record is from RNAcentral. Lineage: Bacteria; Pseudomonadati; Gemmatimonadota.